This 979-nucleotide ribosomal RNA is filed under the name Virgibacillus sp. RNAcentral describes it as "bacterial SSU rRNA". It matches the Rfam family "Bacterial small subunit ribosomal RNA", at positions 57 to 1017 of the family's 1533-position model. The record is from RNAcentral. Lineage: Bacteria; Bacillati; Bacillota; Bacilli; Caryophanales; Bacillaceae.
GCAGGCAGAUCCUCUUCGGAGGUGACGCUUGUGGAACGAGCGGCGGACGGGUGAGUAACACGUGGGCAACCUGCCUGUAAGAUUGGGAUAACCCCGGGAAACCGGGGCUAAUACCGGAUAAUACUUUUCGUUGCAUAACGAGAAGUUGAAAGGCGGCUUUUAGCUGUCACUUACAGAUGGGCCCGCGGCGCAUUAGCUAGUUGGUAAGGUAACGGCUUACCAAGGCGACGAUGCGUAGCCGACCUGAGAGGGUGAUCGGCCACACUGGGACUGAGACACGGCCCAGACUCCUACGGGAGGCAGCAGUAGGGAAUCUUCCGCAAUGGACGAAAGUCUGACGGAGCAACGCCGCGUGAGUGAUGAAGGUUUUCGGAUCGUAAAACUCUGUUGUCAGGGAAGAACAAGUGCCGUUCAAAUAGGGCGGCACCUUGACGGUACCUGACCAGAAAGCCCCGGCUAACUACGUGCCAGCAGCCGCGGUAAUACGUAGGGGGCAAGCGUUGUCCGGAAUUAUUGGGCGUAAAGCGCGCGCAGGCGGUCCUUUAAGUCUGAUGUGAAAGCCCACGGCUUAACCGUGGAGGGCCAUUGGAAACUGGAGGACUUGAGUACAGAAGAGGAGAGUGGAAUUCCACGUGUAGCGGUGAAAUGCGUAGAGAUGUGGAGGAACACCAGUGGCGAAGGCGACUCUCUGGUCUGUAACUGACGCUGAGGUGCGAAAGCGUGGGGAGCGAACAGGAUUAGAUACCCUGGUAGUCCACGCCGUAAACGAUGAGUGCUAGGUGUUAGGGGGGUUUCCGCCCCUUAGUGCUGAAGUUAACGCAUUAAGCACUCCGCCUGGGGAGUACGGCCGCAAGGCUGAAACUCAAAAGAAUUGACGGGGGCCNGCACAAGCGGUGGAGCAUGUGGUUUAAUUCGAAGCAACGCGAAGAACCUUACCAGGUCUUGACAUCCUCUGCCAAUCCUAGAGAUAGGAUGUUCC